AUUCCUCGUGUGAAUUAUACAUAGAGUCGGAUAAACGACAGUUAAUCUAAACAUAAGAAGAAAAUCUGUUAAGAAAAUUUUGCUUAGACUCUCUUUUAAAUAUAUCAUACAAACUAUAUUUUUUGUGAUAAGAUAAACAUGACCCGUCCUGUGUCAAAUUAAAAAAUAAAUAAAUAAUAAAUUAAUCCCAUUCACUCCCUUAUUUUCUCUUAUUUUUUCUCUCUCUCCGUCUCGACACACACUUCCCUCCCAUUUUUUUGUUGUUUUUUUCUUUCUUUCUUUUCCUUCCAUUCUCCUUGUUUAUUCUCACUCUAUUACUCAAACCUUCAAUCCUUAAAAGAGAUUUAACAUCCCCACAAGCUUAAUUUCUCAAACUUCUACAAAUUCUUUUGGUUGAGAUUUUUGAGUUAGGGUUUGUGUUCUAAGGAAGGAAAAGGGUAACCAUCUCUUGAAAGUGGUUUAUUGAGACUCAUUGAGAUUUGUCAACUGAGACCUUGCCGGCUACUCUCUGAGAGUUGUUGGAGAGCAAACUUAGACGAUUCUCCAUAACUAUUCGCAAGCAGCUGAGUAGGAAUCUAUUAUUUGAUUCAAGUCUCAACAUACUUCUUUUUUUUUUUUGGUAGG
Molecule: non-coding RNA, 624 nt
Organism: Cicer arietinum (chickpea)
Lineage: Eukaryota; Viridiplantae; Streptophyta; Magnoliopsida; Fabales; Fabaceae
Source: RefSeq, a predicted model, not a curated record